Molecule: transfer RNA, 76 nt
Filed under: Candidatus Fermentibacter danicus
Lineage: Bacteria; Pseudomonadati; Candidatus Fermentibacterota; Candidatus Fermentibacteria; Candidatus Fermentibacterales; Candidatus Fermentibacteraceae
Description: tRNA-Phe
Rfam family: tRNA
About the family: Transfer RNA (tRNA) molecules are approximately 80 nucleotides in length. Their secondary structure includes four short double-helical elements and three loops (D, anti-codon, and T loops). Further hydrogen bonds mediate the characteristic L-shaped molecular structure. tRNAs have two regions of fundamental functional importance: the anti-codon, which is responsible for specific mRNA codon recognition, and the 3' end, to which the tRNAs corresponding amino acid is attached (by aminoacyl-tRNA synthetases). tRNAs cope with the degeneracy of the genetic code in two manners: having more than one tRNA (with a specific anti-codon) for a particular amino acid; and 'wobble' base-pairing, i.e. permitting non-standard base-pairing at the 3rd anti-codon position.
Source: RNAcentral
GCCGAGGUAGCUCCGUUGGUAGAGCAACGGACUGAAAAUCCGUGCGUCGGCGGCCCGAUUCCGCCCCUCGGCACCA